This 128-nucleotide ribosomal RNA is filed under the name Dyadobacter luticola. RNAcentral describes it as "partial 16S ribosomal RNA". It matches the Rfam family "Bacterial small subunit ribosomal RNA", at positions 1 to 133 of the family's 1533-position model. Lineage: Bacteria; Pseudomonadati; Bacteroidota; Cytophagia; Cytophagales; Spirosomataceae. The record is from RNAcentral.
CAAUAUUUACAAUGGAGAGUUUGAUCCUGGCUCAGGAUGAACGCUAGCGGCAGGCUUAAUACAUGCAAGGCGAGGGGGCAGCAAUGUCACCGUCGUACGGGUGCGUAACGCGUAUGCAACCUACCUAU